UACGGAGGGGGCUAGCGUUGUUCGGAAUUACUGGGCGUAAAGCGCACGUAGGCGGCUUCGCAAGUCAGAGGUGAAAGCCCGGGGCUCAACUCCGGAACUGCCUUUGAGACUGCGUCGCUUGAUCACGGGAGAGGUGAGUGGAAUUCCGAGUGUAGAGGUGAAAUUCGUAGAUAUUCGGAAGAACACCAGUGGCGAAGGCGGCUCACUGGACCGGUAUUGACGCUGAGGUGCGAAAGCGUGGGGAGCAAACAGG
RNAcentral lists this ribosomal RNA (253 nucleotides) under uncultured bacterium. RNAcentral describes it as "partial 16S ribosomal RNA". It matches the Rfam family "Bacterial small subunit ribosomal RNA", at positions 524 to 776 of the family's 1533-position model. The record is from RNAcentral.